RNAcentral lists this ribosomal RNA (502 nucleotides) under uncultured Glomeromycotina. RNAcentral describes it as "SSU rRNA". It matches the Rfam family "Eukaryotic small subunit ribosomal RNA", at positions 591 to 1097 of the family's 1831-position model. Lineage: Eukaryota; Fungi; Glomeromycota. The record is from RNAcentral.
CCAAUAGCGUAUAUUAAAGUUGCUGCAGUUAAAAGCUCGUAGUUGAAUUUCGGAACCAAUAUGUUGGUUGUGCCUCGGUACGUACUGGCAUUGUUGGUUUCUCCCUUCUGACGAACUAUGAUGUCAUUAAUUUGGUGUCAUGGGGAAUCAGGACUGUUACUUUGAAAAAAUUAGAGUGUUUAAAGCAGGCUCACGCUUGAAUACAUUAGCAUGGAAUAAUGAAAUAGGACGUUUUGAUUCUAUUUUGUUGGUUUCUAGGAUUGACGUAAUGAUUAAUAGGGAUAGUUGGGGGCAUUAGUAUUCAAUUGUCAGAGGUGAAAUUCUUGGAUUUAUUGAAGACUAACUACUGCGAAAGCAUUUGCCAAGGAUGUUUUCAUUAAUCAAGAACGAAAGUUAGGGGAUCGAAGACGAUCAGAUACCGUCGUAGUCUUAACCAUAAACUAUGCCGACUAGGGAUCGGAUGAUGUAAUUUUUAAUGACUCAUUCGGCGCCUUACGGGAAA